UUUGGAGGGGCCAAUUAACCUAGCAAUUACACUGACUCCUACAACAGUAAAUCACAUCCGAGUUUCAUUUUGUUCAUGUUUUGGGGGUACACCCCCGCUGCAGGACUCACUGCUGAACAUGUGCAGAGAGCCCCAUCCUGACACCACGCAUCUCUGUCCAGGACUGAAGACGUGAGACGGGGAGGGCAGACAGGCAGGUUGGACAUACGGACUGAAGCAUAAAAUGACUUCCCACUGGCCCCUGCAGAAUAACGGCAAGGAUGAGACGCGUUUGACAGACAGGCAAUGCACAUGUGACCCCCGCCAGGAAGCCAACAGAUGGGCCAUGUUUGCUAUACCCAGUAAGACGAUAGCGCUGAUCUGUCCAAACUCAGGCACCGCCAGCGGGUUCCCGUGCAUCACGGAGGUGAGCCCUGCUCUCAGCAGGUCUUGAAUGAAGUUUUCAGAAUACUGCUGGACUUUGGAGACCCAGAAGACCAGUCUGAAUGUGGCCAUCACGUCACCGUUCAUGUUGCUGGGGGGAAAACAAAAAACAGGUUUGAUUCUCUUUGACAACAAAAAUGGGGCUAAUUUUGCUUUGUUCAUUACCCAUAAGCUAUGACGUUGCAGUCAACAUAGUGAUGGGAUACCGAAGAUGAGGCAAAAACAUUCUUAAUCUGUGAAAGGAAAUGAGUGGACAUUAAAUGCUUACCGGUAUACAAGCAGGACACUCCAUAGUAAAUCCAAGUUGACUGACCUUUGUGUUUAAAACAGAUGUCAGCACUAUGGAGAACCCCGAGUUCUGAUCCUGCAGAGAUGCAUUGUACUUGAGACCCUUCAGCUGCAUCGUCUCCAUGAAGUAAUGCUGCUCCUGCACCAGGAGUCCCACAAAGACUCCAACUAUGAGGAAGAAGAGGAGGAAGACUACCAAGGUGCUCCUGUGGCAUGUGGAGUCGGAGGGAGCAGCAGCAGAGGGUCCUGGGGUCGACCACUGGCCUCCCCCAUCCUUCCUCAGAUCCAUUAUGGAAUUUGGCAGCACUGAGAUGACAAUUCACAUGGCCGACCUGAACCUGAAAAGCUAGCAGAGAUUUAAAAAAAAAUUAAAUUGAAUAAAAUUGUAUUCAAUUGUAUGAAAUAAAAUGUUAAUGAAAUUGAAUGAUGUGAAAUAUAUUACAAUAAAAUAACAUUAAACUGAAUU
Doryrhamphus excisus (bluestripe pipefish) is the source of this 1177-nucleotide non-coding RNA. The record is from RefSeq and is a predicted model, not a curated record. NCBI's taxonomy places the organism in Eukaryota, Metazoa, Chordata, Actinopteri, Syngnathiformes, Syngnathidae.